RNAcentral lists this ribosomal RNA (274 nucleotides) under uncultured bacterium. Its description in RNAcentral is "partial 16S ribosomal RNA". It matches the Rfam family "Archaeal small subunit ribosomal RNA", at positions 473 to 747 of the family's 1478-position model. The record is from RNAcentral.
AAACCAGCACCUCAAGUGGUCAGGAUGAUUAUUGGGCCUAAAGCAUCCGUAGCCUGGUGCAUAAGUUUUCGGUUAAAUCCAUAUGCUCAACAUAUGGGCUGCCGGGAAUACUGUGCACCUAGGGAGUGGGAGAGGUAGACGGUACUCGGUAGGAAGGGGUAAAAUCCUUUGAUCUAUUGAUGACCACCUGUGGCGAAGGCGGUCUACCAGAACACGUUCGACGGUGAGGGAUGAAAGCUGGGGGAGCAAACCGGAUUAGAAACCCGUGUAGUCC